This 400-nucleotide ribosomal RNA is filed under the name uncultured bacterium. RNAcentral describes it as "partial 16S ribosomal RNA". It matches the Rfam family "Bacterial small subunit ribosomal RNA", at positions 362 to 776 of the family's 1533-position model. The record is from RNAcentral.
UAUUGCCCAAUGGGCGAAAGCCUGAUGCAGCAACGCCGCGUGAAGGAAGACGGUUUUCGGAUNGUAAACUUCUAUCAAUAGGGAANNCANNNANGACGGUACCUAAAUAAGAAGCCCCGGCUAACUACGUNNNANCNGCCGCGGUAAUACGUAGGGGGCAAGCGUUAUCCGGAAUUACUGGGUGUAAAGGGAGAGUAGGCGGCAAGGUAAGCGAUAUGUGAAAGCCUUAAGCUUAACUUAAGGAUGGCAUAACGAACUAGCUAGCUAGAGUACAGGAGAGGAAAGCGGAAUUCCUAGUGUAGCGGUGAAAUGCGUAGAUAUUAGGAAGAACACCAGUGGCGAAGGCGGCUUUCUGGACUGAAACUGACGCUGAGGCUCGAAAGCGUGGGGAGCGAACAGG